CUGCGGAGGAUCAUUACCGA
Molecule: ribosomal RNA, 20 nt
Filed under: uncultured Tomentella
Lineage: Eukaryota; Fungi; Basidiomycota; Agaricomycetes; Thelephorales; Thelephoraceae
Description: partial 18S ribosomal RNA
Source: RNAcentral